GACAGAGGGUGCAAACGUUGCUCGGAAUCACUGGGCGUAAAGGGCGUGUAGGCGGGUAGAUAAGUCGGGCGUGAAAUCCCUAGGCUCAACCUAGGAACUGCACUCGAAACUGUUUAUCUUGAGUGCCGGAGAGGAAAGCGGAAUUCCAGGUGUAGCGGUGAAAUGCGUAGAUAUCUGGAGGAACACCGGUGGCGAAGGCGGCAUCCUGGACCGAGAUUGACGCUGAGGCGCGAAAGCCAGGGGAGCAAACGGG
Molecule: ribosomal RNA, 253 nt
Filed under: uncultured bacterium
Lineage: Bacteria
Description: partial 16S ribosomal RNA
Rfam family: Bacterial small subunit ribosomal RNA
Source: RNAcentral